GACGAACGCUGGCGGCGUGCCUAACGCAUGCAAGUCGCACGGGACCCCUUCGGGAGGUCAGUGGCGAAGGGCUGAGGAACGGGUGGGGACCUAUCCUUAAGCGGGGGACAACACCGCGAAAGCGGUGCGAAUCCCGCAUACGCUCUGCGGAGGAAAGCGUGAGCAAUGGCGCGCGGAAGAUUGGCCCGGCGGCCCAUCAGGUAGUUGGCGGGGUAACGGUCGACGAAGGGCGUGACGGGUCGCUGGUCUGUGAGGACUACCAGCCAGACUGGGACUGAGAGACGGCCCAGACUCGUACGGGAGGCAGCGGCAAGGAAUUUUCGGCAAUGGGCGCAAGCCUGACCGAGCAACGCCGCGUGAGGGAUGACGGCCGUCGGGUUGUAAACCGCUUUUGGGGGGGAAGAAACAGACGGUACCCCGCGAAUCAGCCCCGGCUAACUCUGUG
RNAcentral lists this ribosomal RNA (445 nucleotides) under uncultured bacterium. Its description in RNAcentral is "partial 16S ribosomal RNA". It matches the Rfam family "Bacterial small subunit ribosomal RNA", at positions 28 to 507 of the family's 1533-position model. The record is from RNAcentral.